UACGAAGGGUGCAAGCGUUGUUCGGAUUUACUGGGCGUAAAGCGUCCGUAGGUGGUUUGUUAAGUCAGGGGUGAAAUCCCGGGGCCCAACCCCGGAACUGCCUUUGAUACUGGCAAGCUGGAGCGUGAUAGAGGAAGAUGGAAUAUCUGGUGUAGGGGUGAAAUGCAUAGAUAUCACGCAGAACUCCGAUUGCGAAGGCAGCAUACCGGCGCCCAACUGACGCUGAGGCACGAAAGCGUGGGUAUCGAACAGG
Molecule: ribosomal RNA, 253 nt
Filed under: uncultured bacterium
Lineage: Bacteria
Description: partial 16S ribosomal RNA
Rfam family: Bacterial small subunit ribosomal RNA
Source: RNAcentral